Long non-coding RNA from Octopus sinensis (East Asian common octopus), 155 nucleotides. RefSeq lists it as uncharacterized. Lineage: Eukaryota; Metazoa; Mollusca; Cephalopoda; Octopoda; Octopodidae. The transcript is spliced from 3 exons. The record is from RefSeq and is a predicted model, not a curated record.
CUGCUCAGCUGUAAGAGAUAAAUCGACAAACUUUGAGAAGCAAAACUCUUUUCUCUGGUAGAAGAAUAAAUGCCAAAAGAUCUAGUAUUGCUUGAGAAUUCCAUCUUUCAUUACUUAAGUUGGGUAUUUUUUGAAACUUUGAUCAUCAUCAUCAU